This 290-nucleotide long non-coding RNA is filed under the name Medicago truncatula (barrel medic). Its description in RNAcentral is "lncRNA gene31745". Lineage: Eukaryota; Viridiplantae; Streptophyta; Magnoliopsida; Fabales; Fabaceae. The record is from RNAcentral.
CUUUCUUGGCCAACUGCAAGUCCUUUUUAGUCUUUACAGUUUUCAUUAAUUCUUUCUUUAAAACUCUCAUUGUCUUGCUUUGGUUAAGCUCAGGUAUCAAUAAAAAAACAUACCAGAAUUAGGGUUUUCUGGCAACAUCUACUUUUGAGCUCUAGGUCUAUGUCAUGCUAAGGAAGAUAAAUGUUCACAGAAAUAUGCAUCGUGGUUUGGUUCUACAAAACUUGACCAUAAUGGCAGGGAAAAAGAGUUAAGGAGCUUCCUUCAGCCCAACCAAGGAUAUAUGAGGAAAU